Molecule: microRNA, 22 nt
Filed under: Aegilops tauschii
Lineage: Eukaryota; Viridiplantae; Streptophyta; Magnoliopsida; Poales; Poaceae
Description: ata-miR156d-3p
Gene: ata-miR156d-3p
Source: miRBase by way of RNAcentral
GCUCACUCCUCUUUCUGUCAGC